RNAcentral lists this ribosomal RNA (1496 nucleotides) under Klebsiella aerogenes. RNAcentral describes it as "Enterobacter aerogenes 16S ribosomal RNA". It matches the Rfam family "Bacterial small subunit ribosomal RNA". Lineage: Bacteria; Pseudomonadati; Pseudomonadota; Gammaproteobacteria; Enterobacterales; Enterobacteriaceae. The record is from RNAcentral.
AUCAUGGCUCAGAUUGAACGCUGGCGGCAGGCCUAACACAUGCAAGUCGAGCGGUAGCACAGAGAGCUUGCUCUCGGGUGACGAGCGGCGGACGGGUGAGUAAUGUCUGGGAAACUGCCUGAUGGAGGGGGAUAACUACUGGAAACGGUAGCUAAUACCGCAUAAUGUCGCAAGACCAAAGAGGGGGACCUUCGGGCCUCUUGCCAUCAGAUGUGCCCAGAUGGGAUUAGCUAGUAGGUGGGGUAACGGCUCACCUAGGCGACGAUCCCUAGCUGGUCUGAGAGGAUGACCAGCCACACUGGAACUGAGACACGGUCCAGACUCCUACGGGAGGCAGCAGUGGGGAAUAUUGCACAAUGGGCGCAAGCCUGAUGCAGCCAUGCCGCGUGUAUGAAGAAGGCCUUCGGGUUGUAAAGUACUUUCAGCGGGGAGGAAGGCGAUAAGGUUAAUAACCUUGUCGAUUGACGUUACCCGCAGAAGAAGCACCGGCUAACUCCGUGCCAGCAGCCGCGGUAAUACGGAGGGUGCAAGCGUUAAUCGGAAUUACUGGGCGUAAAGCGCACGCAGGCGGUCUGUCAAGUCGGAUGUGAAAUCCCCGGGCUCAACCUGGGAACUGCAUUCGAAACUGGCAGGCUAGAGUCUUGUAGAGGGGGGUAGAAUUCCAGGUGUAGCGGUGAAAUGCGUAGAGAUCUGGAGGAAUACCGGUGGCGAAGGCGGCCCCCUGGACAAAGACUGACGCUCAGGUGCGAAAGCGUGGGGAGCAAACAGGAUUAGAUACCCUGGUAGUCCACGCCGUAAACGAUGUCGACUUGGAGGUUGUGCCCUUGAGGCGUGGCUUCCGGAGCUAACGCGUUAAGUCGACCGCCUGGGGAGUACGGCCGCAAGGUUAAAACUCAAAUGAAUUGACGGGGGCCCGCACAAGCGGUGGAGCAUGUGGUUUAAUUCGAUGCAACGCGAAGAACCUUACCUACUCUUGACAUCCAGAGAACUUUCCAGAGAUGGAUUGGUGCCUUCGGGAACUCUGAGACAGGUGCUGCAUGGCUGUCGUCAGCUCGUGUUGUGAAAUGUUGGGUUAAGUCCCGCAACGAGCGCAACCCUUAUCCUUUGUUGCCAGCGGUCCGGCCGGGAACUCAAAGGAGACUGCCAGUGAUAAACUGGAGGAAGGUGGGGAUGACGUCAAGUCAUCAUGGCCCUUACGAGUAGGGCUACACACGUGCUACAAUGGCGCAUACAAAGAGAAGCGACCUCGCGAGAGCAAGCGGACCUCAUAAAGUGCGUCGUAGUCCGGAUUGGAGUCUGCAACUCGACUCCAUGAAGUCGGAAUCGCUAGUAAUCGUAGAUCAGAAUGCUACGGUGAAUACGUUCCCGGGCCUUGUACACACCGCCCGUCACACCAUGGGAGUGGGUUGCAAAAGAAGUAGGUAGCUUAACCUUCGGGAGGGCGCUUACCACUUUGUGAUUCAUGACUGGGGUGAAGUCGUAACAAGGUAACCGUA